AUCCUUCUGUAGUUCAUAAGCGUGAUGACUGGGCUUUCACUUCUGUGUGAGAUGUGCCUCCUUCACACCUUGUUACAUCAGGACAUUACCCAUCUGACG
This is a small nucleolar RNA of Nomascus leucogenys (northern white-cheeked gibbon), 99 nucleotides long. It matches the Rfam family "Small nucleolar RNA U13". Lineage: Eukaryota; Metazoa; Chordata; Mammalia; Primates; Hylobatidae. The record is from Rfam.